RNAcentral lists this ribosomal RNA (231 nucleotides) under uncultured bacterium. RNAcentral describes it as "partial 16S ribosomal RNA". It matches the Rfam family "Bacterial small subunit ribosomal RNA", at positions 91 to 339 of the family's 1533-position model. The record is from RNAcentral.
CCUAGCGGCAGACGGGUGAGUAACAUGUGGGAAUCUGCCUUUUGGUUCGGAACAACACGGGGAAGCCUGUGCUAAUACCGGAUAAGUCCUAACGGAGAAAGUUUUAAUGCCAAGAGAUGAGCCCGCAUUUGGUUAGCUAGUUGGUAGGGUAAAGGCCUACCAAGGCGACGAUCCGUAGCUGGUCUGAGAGGACGACCAGCCACACUGGAACUGAGACACGGCCCAGACUCC